CGGGACGGGUGAGUAACGCGUGGAUAACCUGCCUCACACAGGGGGAUAACAGUUAGAAAUGACUGCUAAUACCGCAUAAGCGCACGGUACCGCAUGGUACAGUGCGAAAAACUCCGGUGGUGUGAGAUGGAUCCGCGUCUGAUUAGGUAGUUGGUGAGGUAACGGCCCACCAAGCCGACGAUCAGUAGCCGACCUGAGAGGGUGACCGGCCACAUUGGGACUGAGACACGGCCCAA
This 236-nucleotide ribosomal RNA is filed under the name uncultured bacterium. Its description in RNAcentral is "partial 16S ribosomal RNA". It matches the Rfam family "Bacterial small subunit ribosomal RNA", at positions 100 to 334 of the family's 1533-position model. The record is from RNAcentral.